RNAcentral lists this ribosomal RNA (433 nucleotides) under uncultured bacterium. Its description in RNAcentral is "partial 16S ribosomal RNA". It matches the Rfam family "Bacterial small subunit ribosomal RNA", at positions 29 to 507 of the family's 1533-position model. The record is from RNAcentral.
AACGAACGCUGGCGGCAUGCCUAACACAUGCAGGUCGAACGAGACCUUCGGGUCUAGUGGCGCACGGGUGCGUAACGCGUGGGAACCUGCCCUUAGGUUCGGAAUAACUCCCCGAAAGGGGUGCUAAUACCGGAUAAUGUCUUCGGACCAAAGAUUUAUCGCCUUUGGAUGGGCCCGUGUUGGAUUAGCUAGUUGGUAGGGUAAAAGCCUACCAAGGCGACGAUCCAUAGCUGGUCUGAGAGGAUGAUCAGCCACACUGGGACUGAGACACGGCCCAGACUCCUACGGGAGGCAGCAGUGGGGAAUAUUGGACAAUGGGCGAAAGCCUGAUCCAGCAAUGCCGCGUGAGUGAUGAAGGCCUUAGGGUUGUAAAGCUCUUUUACCCGGGAUGAUAAUGACAGUACCGGGAGAAUAAGCUCCGGCUAACUCCGUG